GUAUUAGGCAAAUCCGGUACUCGUUAAGGCUGAGCUGUGAUGGGGAGAAGACAUUGUGUCUUCGAGUCGUUGAUUUCACACUGCCGAGAAAAGCCUCUAGAUAGAAAAUAGGUGCCCGUACCGCAAACCGACACAGGUAGUCAAGAUGAGAAUUCUAAGGUGAGCGAGCGAACUCUCGUUAAGGAACUCGGCAAAAUGACCCCGUAACUUCGGGAGAAGGGGUGCUCUUUAGGGUUAACGCCCAGAAGAGCCGCAGUGAAUAGGCCCAAGCGACUGUUUAUCAAAAACACAGGUCUCUGCUAAACCGUAAGGUGAUGUAUAGGGGCUGACGCCUGCCCGGUGCUGGAAGGUUAAGAGGAGUGGUUAGCUUCUGCGAAGCUACGAAUCGAAGCCCCAGUAAACGGCGGCCGUAACUAUAACGGUCCUAAGGUAGCGAAAUUCCUUGUCGGGUAAGUUCCGACCCGCACGAAAGGCGUAACGAUUUGGGCACUGUCUCAACGAGAGACUCGGUGAAAUCAUAGUACCUGUGAAGAUGCAGGUUACCCGCGACAGGACGGAAAGACCCCGUGGAGCUUUACUGUAGCCUGAUAUUGAAAUUCGGCACAGCUUGUACAGGAUAGGUAGGAGCCUUUGAAACGUGAGCGCUAGCUUACGUGGAGGCGCUGGUGGGAUACUACCCUAGCUGUGUUGGCUUUCUAACCCGCACCACUUAUCGUGGUGGGAGACAGUGUCAGGCGGGCAGUUUGACUGGGGCGGUCGCCUCCUAAAAGGUAACGGAGGCGCUCAAAGGUUCCCUCAGAAUGGUUGGAAAUCAUUCAUAGAGUGUAAAGGCAUAAGGGAGCUUGACUGCGAGACCUACAAGUCGAGCAGGGUCGAAAGACGGACUUAGUGAUCCGGUGGUUCCGCAUGGAAGGGCCAUCGCUCAACGGAUAAAAGCUACCCCGGGGAUAACAGGCUUAUCUCCCCCAAGAGUUCACAUCGACGGGGAGGUUUGGCACCUCGAUGUCGGCUCAUCGCAUCCUGGGGCUGUAGUCGGUCCCAAGGGUUGGGCUGUUCGCCCAUUAAAGCGGUACGCGAGCUGGGUUCAGAACGUCGUGAGACAGUUCGGUCCCUAUCCGUCGUGGGCGUAGGAAAUUUGAGAGGAGCUGUCCUUAGUACGAGAGGACCGGGAUGGACAUACCUCUGGUGUACCAGUUGUCGUGCCAACGGCAUAGCUGGGUAGCUAUGUGUGGACGGGAUAAGUGCUGAAAGCAUCUAAGCAUGAAGCCCCCCUCAAGAUGAGAUUUCCCAACUUCGGUUAUAAGAUCCCUCAAAGAUGAUGAGGUUAAUAGGUUCGAGGUGGAAGCAUGGUGACAUGUGGAGCUGACGAAUACUAAUCGAUCGAAGACUUAAUCAA
RNAcentral lists this ribosomal RNA (1396 nucleotides) under Staphylococcus aureus. Its description in RNAcentral is "partial 23S ribosomal RNA". It matches the Rfam family "Bacterial large subunit ribosomal RNA", at positions 1529 to 2925 of the family's 2925-position model. Lineage: Bacteria; Bacillati; Bacillota; Bacilli; Caryophanales; Staphylococcaceae. The record is from RNAcentral.